AAGAGUUCAGACUUGAAGGCCUGAGCUAGUGUGCUGUGAUGAGCUACACGGACAGGUCUUGCUAGUUGCAGGACUUGGACUUACUUUGGGUGUGGCCACAGGAGUCUUGUGAGAGAAGCGAAUAUUUGCAUGGGAGCCUUGCAUUGACACUGUGUGCUUUGGAUUUCAGGGAGCAGGCUGAUGCCUCUUGGGGCAUAAUACAAAGUCUUGGAACUGUGAAUUAUCCACAAAGAAAAGAAAAGCAAAAACUCCAGCUUCCAGGUGCGGGUGAGCUGGUAGACUGUCUGCACACCUUUGCAGUGUGGAGAACAUUCCGGAAGGAAAGGAGCCAAGACAGGAGUUGAUGUUUAGUUAGGAGGCUGGAGCGGUGCUUCUGGGGACCCUAAGUUUGUUUUCUCAGCUGACUAGAUUGUGGGCGAAGUGACAUCACCAUCUGAUCAGCAUCUAAAAACAUUUCAGCUACGUUAAAAAAAAUAGAGAUCUCGAACGUGCUCCCUUAAUUACAUUUGACCAUUUGAGCAGCUGCGUGGAAACCCCGGGUAGCCGGCCUGUUCUGCAAUUUGUUUUGAAAACAAGCUUUUCAGUCUCUCGGCUGCGAGGAUCCUGUGUAAAGGGUGUACACUGUGAAUCACAGUUUCAAAGGAAGACGACAAACACAGAUCUCAGCCAAGUAAUUUGUAAAACUGGACUGCUGACAGAAAUUCAGGAAGCAGCAGAAAACAACCAAGAACAAAGACACAGUCAAGAGGCUGGAUGU
Long non-coding RNA from Bos taurus (domestic cattle), 757 nucleotides. NCBI's taxonomy places the organism in Eukaryota, Metazoa, Chordata, Mammalia, Artiodactyla, Bovidae. The record is from Ensembl.